RNAcentral lists this ribosomal RNA (213 nucleotides) under uncultured fungus. RNAcentral describes it as "partial small subunit ribosomal RNA". The stretch from base 96 to 213 matches the Rfam family "Eukaryotic small subunit ribosomal RNA", at positions 743 to 864 of the family's 1831-position model. The record is from RNAcentral. Lineage: Eukaryota; Fungi.
GACUAGAUACUGUGGUCUACCUUUUGGGUUAGACCAGUUGUAUCACGUCUUUUUUUCUAGAUUCUUUACUAGCCUUCUGGGUGUGUAAAGGUGAUCUAGGACUUUUACUUUGAAGAAAUUAGAGUGUUUAAGGCAGGCUUGUGCUUGAAUACAUUAGCAUGGAAUAAUAAAAUAGGACUUUGGUUUUAUUUUGUUGGUUAUAAAGCCGAGGUA